RNAcentral lists this ribosomal RNA (468 nucleotides) under uncultured bacterium. RNAcentral's name for it is "partial 16S ribosomal RNA". It matches the Rfam family "Bacterial small subunit ribosomal RNA", at positions 28 to 507 of the family's 1533-position model. The record is from RNAcentral.
GACGAACGCUGGCGGCGUGCUUAACACAUGCAAGUCGAACGGAAAGGCCCUGCUUUUGUGGGUUGCUCGGGUGGCGAACGGGUGAGUAACACGUGAGUAACCUGCCCUUGACUUUGGGAUAACUUCAGGAAACUGGGUCUAAUACCGGAUAGGAGCUCCUGCUGCAUGGUGGGGGUUGUAAAGUUUCGGCGGUUGGGGAUGGACUCGCGGCUUAUCAGCUUGUUGGUGGGGUAGUGGUUUACCCAGGCUUUGACGGGUAGCCGGCCUGAGAGGGGGAACGGCGACAUGGGGACUGAGAUACGGACCAGACUGCUACGGGAGGCAGUAGGGGGGAAUAUGGCACAAUGGGCGGAAGCCUGAGGAAGAAACGCCGGGUGCGGGAUGAAGGCUUGUGGGGUGUAAAAAGCUAUGGCCUGUGACGAAGCGUGAGUGACGGUAAUGGGUAAAGAAGCACCGGCUAACUACGUG